RNAcentral lists this ribosomal RNA (768 nucleotides) under uncultured archaeon. RNAcentral's name for it is "bacterial SSU rRNA". It matches the Rfam family "Archaeal small subunit ribosomal RNA", at positions 88 to 857 of the family's 1478-position model. The record is from RNAcentral.
GCUCAGUAACACGUGGAUAACCUACCCUUAGGACCGGGAUAACCUUGGGAAACUGAGGAUAAUACUGGAUAGGCAAUUAUUCCUGCAAUGGUUUUUUGUUUAAAUGUUUUUUCGCCUAAGGAUGGGUCUGCGGCCGAUUAGGUAGUUGGUUAGGUAAUGGCUUACCAAGCCGCUGAUCGGUACGGGUUGUGAGAGCAAGAGCCCGGAGAUGGAACCUGAGACAAGGUUCCAGGCCCUACGGGGUGCAGCAGGCGCGAAACCUCCGCAAUGUGAGAAAUCGCGACGGGGGGAUCCCAAGUGCCAUUCUUAACGGGAUGGCUUUUCAUUAGUGUAAAGAGCUUUUGGAAUAAGGGCUGGGCAAGACCGGUGCCAGCCGCCGCGGUAACACCGGCAGCUCUAGUGGUAGCAGUUUUUAUUGGGCCUAAAGCGUCCGUAGCCGGUUUAAUAAGUCUCUGGUGAAAUCCUGUAGCUUAACUGUGGGAAUUGCUGGAGAUACUAUUAGACUUGAGACCGGGAGAGGUUAGAGGUACUCCCAGGGUAGAGGUGAAAUUCUGUAAUCCUGGGAGGACCGCCUGUUGCGAAGGCGUCUAACUGGAACGGUUCUGACGGUGAGGGACGAAAGUUAGGGGCGCGAACCGGAUUAGAUACCCGGGUAGUCCUAACCGUAAACGAUGCGGACUUGGUGUUGGGGUGGCUUUGAGCUGCUCCAGUGCCGAAAGGAAGCUGUUAAGUCCGCCGCCUGGAAGUACGGUCGCAAGACUGAAACUU